UACGGAGGAUCCGAGCGUUAUCCGGAUUUAUUGGGUUUAAAGGGUGCGUAGGUGGUUUUAUAAGUCAGCGGUGAAAGUUUGCAGCUUAGCUGUAAAAAUGCCGUUGAAACUGUAAGACUUGAGUGUAAAUGAGGUAGGCGGAAUGCGUGGUGUAGUGGUGAAAUGCAUAGAUAUCACGCAGAACUCCGAUUGCGAAGGCAGCUUACUAAGCUACAACUGACACUGAAGCACGAAAGCGUGGGGAUCAAACAGGAUUAGAUACCCUGGUAGUCCACGCAGUAAACGAUGAUUACUAGCUGUUUGCGAUAUACCGUAAGUGACUAAGCGAAAGCGAUAAGUAAUCCACCUGGGGAGUACGCCGGCAACGGUGAA
This 372-nucleotide ribosomal RNA is filed under the name uncultured bacterium. RNAcentral's name for it is "bacterial SSU rRNA". It matches the Rfam family "Bacterial small subunit ribosomal RNA", at positions 524 to 898 of the family's 1533-position model. The record is from RNAcentral.